Long non-coding RNA from Orcinus orca (killer whale), 1023 nucleotides. RefSeq lists it as uncharacterized. Lineage: Eukaryota; Metazoa; Chordata; Mammalia; Artiodactyla; Delphinidae. The transcript is spliced from 3 exons. The record is from RefSeq and is a predicted model, not a curated record.
AGUAGAGCACUGAGUCAUUAUGUUCUCACCAGAUGUUAACUGGAAGGUUUCAGCCACCCAAAAGCCUUAGGCAAAGUCUCUUGGCCACAAUUUCCCCAUCCAUGGGCCGCCAUGCUGACCAGCCAUUCCCUUGGCACCUUAUAAGGGCACACUAAUUAGAAAACUCAUCUUGCAAGAAUGCUGCAGAGAGACCUUUCACAUGGAGUAGAACCAUAGUGCCCAGAGGCACCGUGACUCAGUGGUAGUAGAGCUGAUUUCUAACACCCAGUCUGAUGACUCUCCAGCCCCAAAAGGGAUGAACUACAUGGCAGAGUCCAGGCACAUUCCCACCGGGCCAGCCAGAGGAUGGUGCAUGGGAGUGGCAGGUCCUCAAAGUACUUGAAAAAGUACUAGUUACACCUAUAGUGUCAGGAAGAGACAGGAAGUGGCCAACCGACUCAUUUACUCAUUUGUUUAUUUUAUCAGUGUGUAUUGUCUGCCCCUAAUGUAGCAAGGGCUGUGUUAUUUGCUAUGGGGAAAACAGAUGAAUCAGAUAGCCCUGGCCUAGGUCUAGUUGGAGUGAAAGAUAGAUCAUAAAAUAUUAAAUGCCUUAUAAUUUCUAUAAAUGAAAUGUAUACAAAAGAAAAAAGAAAAACAUGGAGUUAAAAGUCCAGAGUAGCUUUGGCUGAGAGGGAAAGUAAAAACUUCACACGGGAGUUAAAUCUGAGCUGGGUCUUGAAAAAUGACUAGGAGUUUGCCACACACGGAGAAGCGUGCCAGUUAGAAGAACAAAUGGACUUAAAGCUUGCUUUAGUUGAAGAAGCUUUCACCAGGAUUAACUUUGCUGCAAAAAAGCUUUCUGGGUCUCCUUUCAAGGCAGACGUUGGCUGCACUGAAGCAGCAUGAAUACUUAAAGGCCUUUGAAGAAUGCAGUAGUAUCUGGUGUUUCUAUGGACAUCACAUGAUUCCUGUAUCAGCCAGCCUCAGCACACAAGACUGGACUGUAACGCCAGCAGGUCCGGGGAAGAGCCCAGGGAGCCAGAC